GGCGUGCUUUAUACAUGCAAGUCGAACGCGAAAGUGUCUUCGGACAUUAGUAGAGUGGCAAACGGGUGAGUAACGCGUGGGAAUAUACCUUAAAGUACGGAAUAGCCUCGGGAAACUGGGAUUAAUAACGUAUACGCCCUGAGGGGGAAAGAUGUAUCGCUAUAAGAUUAGCCCGCGUCAGAUUAGCUAGUUGGUGGGGUAAUGGCCUACCAAGGCAACGAUCUGUAGCUGGUCUGAGAGGAUGAUCAGCCACAUUGGGACUGAGAUACGGCCCAAACUCCUACGGGAGGCAGCAGUAGGGAAUAUUGGACAAUGGACGAAAGUCUGAUCCAGCAAUGCCGCGUGAGUGAUGAAGGCCUUAGGGUUGUAAAGCUCUUUUAGUGGGGAAGGUAAUGACGGUACCCACAGAAAAAGCACCGGCUAACUUCGUGCCAGCCGCCGCAGUAA
Molecule: ribosomal RNA, 447 nt
Filed under: uncultured bacterium
Lineage: Bacteria
Description: partial 16S ribosomal RNA
Rfam family: Bacterial small subunit ribosomal RNA
Source: RNAcentral